Molecule: ribosomal RNA, 429 nt
Filed under: bacterium
Lineage: Bacteria
Description: partial 16S ribosomal RNA
Rfam family: Bacterial small subunit ribosomal RNA
Source: RNAcentral
UAGGGAAUCUUCCACAAUGGACGCAAGUCUGAUGGAGCAACGCCGCGUGAGUGAAGAAGGUUUUCGGAUCGUAAAGCUCUGUUGUUGGUGAAGAAGGAUAGAGGUAGUAACUGGCCUUUAUUUGACGGUAAUCAACCAGAAAGUCACGGCUAACUACGUGCCAGCAGCCGCGGUAAUACGUAGGUGGCAAGCGUUGUCCGGAUUUAUUGGGCGUAAAGCGAGCGCAGGCGGAAGAAUAAGUCUGAUGUGAAAGCCCUCGGCUUAACCGAGGAACUGCAUCGGAAACUGUUUUUCUUGAGUGCAGAAGAGGGGAGUGGAAUUCCAUGUGUAGCGGUGGAAUGCGUAGAUAUAUGGAAGAACACCAGUGGCGAAGGCGACUCUCUGGUCUGCAACUGACGCUGAGGCUCGAAAGCAUGGGUAGCGAACAGG